UUUAACUGAAGAGUUUGAUCAUGGCUCAGAUUGAACGCUGGCGGCAGGCUUAACACAUGCAAGUCGAGCGGGGGAAGGUAGCUUGCUACUGGACCUAGCGGCGGACGGGUGAGUAAUGCUUAGGAAUCUGCCUAUUAGUGGGGGACAACAUCUCGAAAGGGAUGCUAAUACCGCAUACGUCCUACGGGAGAAAGCAGGGG
Molecule: ribosomal RNA, 200 nt
Filed under: Acinetobacter baumannii
Lineage: Bacteria; Pseudomonadati; Pseudomonadota; Gammaproteobacteria; Moraxellales; Moraxellaceae
Description: partial 16S ribosomal RNA
Rfam family: Bacterial small subunit ribosomal RNA
Source: RNAcentral